GCGAAGCGGUGACGUGGAGCAAACCUCAGAAAGCCAAUCUCAGUUCGGAUUGUAGGCUGCAACUCGCCUACAUGAAGUUGGAAUCGCUAGUAAUCGCGAAUCAGAAUGUCGCGGUGAAUACGUUCCCGGGUCUUGUACACACCGCCCGUCACACCACGAGAGUUUACAACACCCGAAGUCAGUGGCCUAACCGCAGGGAGGGAGCUGCCUAAGGUGGGGUAGAUGAUUGGGGUGAAGUCGUAACAAGGUAAC
Molecule: ribosomal RNA, 252 nt
Filed under: uncultured bacterium
Lineage: Bacteria
Description: partial 16S ribosomal RNA
Rfam family: Bacterial small subunit ribosomal RNA
Source: RNAcentral